GUGCUCGCUUCGGCAGCGCAUAUACUAAAAUUGGAAUGAUACAGAGUUAAUUAGCAUGGUCCCUGUGCAAGGGUGACAUGCAGAUGCGUGGUGUUCCAUGUUUUU
Small nuclear RNA from Pteropus vampyrus (large flying fox), 105 nucleotides. Lineage: Eukaryota; Metazoa; Chordata; Mammalia; Chiroptera; Pteropodidae. The record is from Ensembl.